RNAcentral lists this ribosomal RNA (1707 nucleotides) under metagenome. Its description in RNAcentral is "bacterial LSU rRNA". It matches the Rfam family "Bacterial large subunit ribosomal RNA", at positions 1135 to 2925 of the family's 2925-position model. The record is from RNAcentral.
UUAUAGCUCACUGGUCGAGCGUCUUUGCGCGGAGAAUUUAACGGGGCUAAACCUGGCACCGAAGCUUAGGCAAUGUAGCAAUACAUUGGGUAGGGGAGCGUUGUAUACGCGGUGAAACAGUAGCGCAAGCGGCUGUGGAGUGUAUAGAAGUGAGAAUGCCGGAAUGAGUAGCGCGAAUGCAGUGAGAAUCUGCAUGGCCGAAAGCCUCAGGUUUUUGGAGGAAGGUUCGUCCGCUCCAAGUUAGUCGGGAGCUAAGGUGAGGCCGGAAGGCGUAGCCGAUGCACAGACGGUAGAGAUUCCGUCACCACCAAAAGAGUUAAGCACAGGGACACAUUUGAAGUCUCAGAGCCGGGUGUUGGUUCCGGUAGAGAUCGAGGGAAGUUAGUACCGAAGUCUGAGAUGGAAGAUGGCGAGAAAAGCUGUGUGUAUUUCUGAGGUGCCCGUACCGCAAACCGACACAGGUAGGUAGGAAGAAGAUUCUAAGGCCAACGGGAGAAAGGUUGUUAAGGAACUCGGCAAAUUGACCCCGUAACUUCGGGAGAAGGGGUGCUCCAGAGAUGGAGCCGCAGAGAAUCGGCCCAAGCAACUGUUUACCAAAAACACAGGUUUGUGCUAAAUCGAAAGAUGACGUAUACGAGCUGACGCCUGCCCGGUGCUGGAAGGUUAAGAGGAGAUGUGCAAGCAUUGAAUCGAAGCCCCAGUGAACGGCGGCCGUAACUAUAACGGUCCUAAGGUAGCGAAAUUCCUUGUCAGGUAAGUUCUGACCCGCAUGAAAGGCGUAAUGAUUUGGGCACUGUCUCAACAGCCCGCCCGGCGAAAUUGUAGUACCGGUGAAGAUGCCGGUUACCCGCGACAAGACGGAAAGACCCCAUGGAGCUUUACUGUCGCCUAAUAUUGGGUUUCGAUGUUGCAUGCACAGGAUAGAUGGGACACAGGGAAACAAUCGCUUUGGCGGUUGCGGAGUGGCCGUUGGGAUACCAUCCUUGCGAUAUUGGAAUUCUAACCUGCGGCUCUGAAUCGAGUCGGGGGACAUUGUUAGGUGGGCAGUUUGACUGGGGCGGUCGCCUCCUAAAAAGUAACGGAGGCGUUCAAAGGUUCGCUCAGCUUGAACGGAAAUCAAGCAAAAGAGUGCAAACGCAGAAGCGAGCCUAACUGCGAGACUGACGGGUCGAGCAGUAACGAAAGUUGGAGUUAGUGAUCCGGUGGUAUGUGAGUGGAAAUGCCAUCGCUCAACGGAUAAAAGUUACCCUGGGGAUAACAGGCUGAUCUCCCCCAAGAGUCCACAUCGACGGGGAGGUUUGGCACCUCGAUGUCGGCUCAUCGCAUCCUGGGGCUGUAUUCGGUCCCAAGGGUUUGGCUGUUCGCCAAUUAAAGCGGUACGCGAGCUGGGUUCAGAACGUCGUGAGACAGUUCGGUCCCUAUCUGUCGUGGGCGCAGGAUAUUUGAUGGGAGCUGUCCCUAGUACGAGAGGACCGGGACGGACGUACCUCUGGCGCACCAGUUGUUCCGCCAGGAGCAUAGCUGGGCAACUACGUACGGAUCGGAUAAACGCUGAAAGCAUCUAAGCGUGAAGCCGACCCAAAGAUAAGAUAUCCCACUGAUUAGAUCAGGUAAGAUCCCUUGAAGACUACAAGGUUGAUAGGCACGAUGUGUAAGUGGAGUGAUCCAUUCAGCAAGAGUGUACUAAUAGAUCGAGGGCUUGACCAA